This 652-nucleotide long non-coding RNA is filed under the name Homo sapiens (human). Its description in RNAcentral is "HSALNT0194749". The record is from RNAcentral. Lineage: Eukaryota; Metazoa; Chordata; Mammalia; Primates; Hominidae.
AUUUGAGGCUAGGCGCGGUGUCUCACGCCUGUAAUCCCAGCACUUUGGGAGGCUGAGGCAGGCAGAUCAUUUGAGGUGGGGAGUUAGAGACCAGCCUGGCCAACAUGGUAAAACUCCAUCUCUACUAAAAAUACAAAAAUGUGCCAGGCAUGGUGCUGCAUGCCUAUAAUCCCAGUUCCUCAGGAGGCUGAGGCAGGAGAAUCACUUGAACCUGGGAGGGGGAGGUUGCAGUGAGCCAAGAUCACAUCACUGCACUCCAGCCUGGGUGACAGAGCAAGACACCAUCUCAAAAAAUAAUGAUGAGAAUGAUUUGAGACCUUUCUUCUUUUCUAAGAACCUUCCCAACUGGAGAUGUGAAACGGUCAUUCUCCAUCCACUCACCUGGUUUCCUGCCACAGAGAUAGAAGGCUAGUCUGUCCGUUAGCUCAUACUGUAUUUCCACGAGGCGCUCUGCCAGCUCAUGGUGCCCUCCUUGCCUACCAAGAGAAAACAAAGUACCAUUUAUAUUGCUCACUAUUCACUGACUUUAAAAUGGAGUACAAAGACGUCUCCUGAGACACCUGAGCAGUUUAUCACACAAGACUUUUGAGAAUCAUCAACCUUCUUGUGUGCUCUGUGAAAUAAUGAAGCACCAUGCAAUACUGUACUCCUG